GCGAGGAGCCCCGCACCUCCUCGAACACCUUCUGCAGCCAGGAGGCCCCGCUGCCGCCGCCCUCCGCCGCCGCCCGGCUCUCCUCGGCGCGCUCCGGGAGCGUAGUUCAAUGGCUUUCUCUCCCCAGCCCAUGACCUGAUUAGAUUGAAGUUACUCUUCGUGCACACUGAAGGCUUCCCUGUCACUAGAGCUGAGAGCUAGACAAUUCUUUCCCGGUAUCCCAGUCAUGAGGAAAGAGGAAGAAACCAAGCUGUUUUAAAAGCAAAGCAGCAGUGAGCAACUGAGGUUCUUAGGCUGUACAACAGGGUAUCAUUGCUGCAGGCUGUGAGGGUGUCAUUAACAUCUCAACUCACUGCAGCAGUAGCUGGGUGAGCCCCAGGGCAGCACCCAGUGAAGUCAGCAUGUGAAAAGGUAAGCCCGGACCACACAUACAGUGAAAAAGAUAAAAAUGAUACAAUACUCAGACUUCUGCUAUAUUUUGUAACUGACAGCACAUUAACCUCUUCAAACUUGGCUUUUGAAACAACAGAGGCAGAGGACACUACAGUUCUGGGGGGUGGGACAGUGAGGCAGGUGUAUAUAUAAACAGCAUGGAAGCAUUCUGUGGCUACACUGUUUAGUAUAGGUCAGACAGGUUUAGCAACAAAGACCUAAUCCACUCAUAAGUCUCCUGAUCUUUUCCACCACAUGAAAUCUGCACUCCAGGUGUCAGUAUGCUGUGUCUGUAUCAGCUGUAUCCGUGCCUUUGGAAGAUUUCAAUUUGAUAGCUUCCUUUCAGCUCCCAGUGACCACUUCAUUAAGCUCUGCUGCAACCUCUAGGUCAUUUGGGAUAGAAAACCUGCAUGACUGGACCACUACUGCUGUGUUCAGAAGAGACAAGUAUUACAAGUAUCCAAGCAGUAUUACAAUAGGAACAUAAUAAACCAGACACAUCACUGGGAACCUGUCAACUGACAAUGGCUGAUUUAAGUACAAGUAGCAUAAAAGGUCUUGUCACAGAAUCAAAAAAUUCUCAGAUUUCUUUUGUGAAACAACUUGCCAACAAAAUGGCUUGAUUAUACCAUUUGCAGGGUUGUCCAGUUAUAAGGAUUUAACUAUACAUGGAGAUUAAUUUGGAGGAUAGCAGGCUGUGAAUUCAGAGGUCAGUACCAAGUCUUGGUAAUCUUCCCAUAUGGGAGCACUUUACAGGUGUCUGAUGUGAGAUGAAUUGAGAGAGAAUACUCAAAGUUGUCUUCUUUUGGAACAAUAGCUCCUAUACUACAGGAAACUUGGGAAUAGUUACUGUGAGUCCACUUUUCACCUCAACAGGCUUUAGAUAAAAAUGUCCUGUGCUUCUAGCUGGCAACAUACACAGGUGCUUAUAUUACAGAUUGUACAGGUUUUUAGCAACUCUAGACUUAACAGCCACUCUGAUCCUUUGCACAGUAGCUAAGCAGAAAAGGCAUAUACUGACUCCAAAUGAUGUGCCAGUAGCUGCUUAACCUACUGGAACAAAGUUAUUCAGAGUUCCCUGAAGCUCCCCUGCUUCACCCAGAUUACCAUGUGUAUUAAAAAACCUACAACUGUGCAUGAACUGUGGCUCUUGCUACACCAUUUACCCCAGCAGUACUCCCUGGACAUCAAAGAAUACAUGCCACAAAGCCAGUUUCUUAUAAUCGUGAAAGCAUUAGCAAUGCUCUAAACUUGUACAAGACUUGGUAUUUCCUGUUUACCCUGUGUAUUGAGUAGAGCCAGGGAGUGACUGUUUCAAGGGUAAAUGGUUGAGGGAGAUAGGAAAGGUUAAAGAAAUCACUGAGCCAUAUUGAAUCCAUUAACUCCUAUGAAGUGUCACUGACAUGAGCUAAUGAUCUCACACCAGUAGCAUAUUCACUGUCUGAAUGAGACAAGUGCACUUGGUACCACAGAAGCCAGGUACUGUUACAAUCUCACUUCCCUUCUUAAUCUUUUUUAAAAUGUUUCUCUUUUAAAAAAAUCCCUCUUCUAAUCUCAUGUACUGAAUUUGGCUCACUGCCCUGUAAGCAGUUAUUCCCAACUGACCUCUGCAUGAGAGCAGAAUCAGGCCAGCUUUUAGCAAAAUAUCAUAAAGUUGGGCUUUUCUGAUUAGUGUUACAAAAAUAGGGCAGGAAAGGACCUUAAUGCACCUUCUCUUCUAUCCAUAUCCCUAUGCUGCAUCAGUAUCACUGGUGACAAUUGUUUGUUUAACCUGACCUUAAAGACCUCCAGUGAUGGAGACUCCAAAAAUUCCCCAGGCAACUGAUUCCAGAUAUACCAAGAAGUUUAAAAUGAAGAAACAGAACAUGAUUUAAAGAGUCUGACCCACUUUUGUGUAUCUGAGUCACGAUAUCAAACUCCAUUCCAGGGUGGAAGAAAGUGUACACUGCUUUACUGAAUUCCUUUUUGGAGACAAUCGGUAUGUGCACAGGUGAGAUUCAAUGCAAAAAAGCCACUGAAUUUUGCUUUCUAUACGGGUUUGUGAAAAUUGCUUCAGGCAAGUGUGGAGCUGGGCAAAACACACUCAGGAGAAUAUCUAGUGACGACUUUGGUGACAGUAAAAGGUACCAUCCACUGCCGAGUACACUGCUGUAGAACCCUUCUUUGGCCCUUCAGUCAAACUCACUACACUCUAUGAAACCACAAUAUAUUCAAGCUUUUUUCAAUAUAUACUAUAUUCAAUAUAUAUAAAGCUUUUAUUGGUUUCCCAGUCUUUGGGGAAAACAUGUUUGUUCAUUUUAGACAAAUGGAGGGGACACAUACAUGUUGAGGACUGGGAAUGAAAAAAGCCCACAGAGAUACCAAGUGUCCUGUGAUGCAGCAAAGCUUGUUCCCACAAAAACCCAGCUGAGAGCUCUCCAGUGAUGCUGCUGAUUACUGAUUAGGGACUGAUAGCUAUUUUACAUGCUGUCUCUAGCCCAUGCUUUAAUACUUACUGACCAUAAAGUUGAGCAGUUUUGGGUAGGAAAACUGAGGAAGAUAACUUCUCUUGUGCAAUUCUGUUAAAUAGUUUUACUGCUAUAAUUUAUGUUACCUGGAUACGGAAGAGGGUGUUUUUCUUCUUCCAGUCACAGCUGUGGAGAACUUUUAUUAAACAAGAGAGGCUAGAGAGUCAAAAUAAAGAAGGAAAAAAAGCUAAGGCUGAAUAAAGUUAGAAACAGACAAAUUAAGAAAUUGGCCCUGGAAGGCCGGUGUUUUCCUGCUGUACAUUUUGGUUAGAGUGCACUGGGAAGAGGGCUAACAUACAGUACAAGUGAUACCCCAACCCAGAAACGCACCUGGGGUGGCCAUUUGCUUGUUUGAAUGCCUUUUGCUGUUCCCUUGGGGAAGAGUGUGCAGGAGACCUGACCAACAUCAGUCACUCAGAUAUGAGUGGGCGUGUUCUGUGCACGAGCUGGACAGCAACUCUCUCAAGAACUGGUGAGUGUGGUGGUAGAACACUGAGGCAAUAAUUCUACCGCCUGUUGGUAACACUGUCUGCUUCUCUCCAUAAUAUCCAUUUUGCUUCUAAUAUGUACAGGGAAAAUGAAAUAAGGGCUUUUACUGCUUCUGCACUCUGGGAAUAUCCAGAUUUGUGUCAAACCUCUGAGAUUACAUACUGUAAAUAAUUCAUUACUCACACAAAAGGGCAAAAGUGCUCCCCAAUCUUAUUAACUUGAUGUUUCUUAAAGCCUUUUUUAAUCCUGUUUUAUAGAAAGAAAAUAUUACAUCUAUAUUUAUAUUUAGCCCUACAUAUGUGAAGUAUCUUUCAGCUUAAACAUAGAAUACUUCUACAAUUUUAAUUUCCCAUGGGAUUUGAGCUUCCUCUCUCCAAUUUCUUAUUAACAGAUCGGUCACAGAGGUCCCAACUUUAAGACUAUGAAAAUUAAGAAAUGAGCAAAGGAUGACUAGAGAGCACACUGAGGUUAACACAAGACCCUUCUAUCUCUGCAACAUAGAGUGAAAAUUUUGAGGUAAGCUCAUACAGACUUCAGGAGAUCCGAAAUGGGUCUGGAAAUGUCCCCCAGGAAAACAGUUUCUUUUAAGAAACUUAAAUUUCCACCAAGCUGGGCCAUGCAAAUAACAGUUAAUUCACACUUCUGUCAUAAUAGUUAAUGUUUCUGUCUGGAGCCAAGAAUAUCAAAGGAUUAAGAAAAUUAAUAGGAGUUAGUGGGGAAAAUUAUUAAAAUAACAGUUAACAGAGGUUCUUGUUUAAAGUUUGAGUUGUGUGUUGAGUUAUAGGUUGGGUUAGUUUUUAGUGGAAAUAUGAUUCCAAUCAGAAAUCAAAUCUGUUUUGUACCACAUCACAAAGACUGACAGUUUCUGUUCCAAUGAAAUCCAUUUCUGAGAUACCAGAAGUGCUGCAGUAGCAGCAGAAACUCAAGUGUUCUCAAGGUAAUGCACUGGAAACUGUUCAAAUGAAAACUAAGAGGGGCUGUUUGGAGACUGCCCUUCAACUGUGGAAUCUGCCGAAGUAUAAACAAUGAGAGAGACAGAGGGAUGGAGACUGACACCACUCCUUCCAGAGAACAUCCACAAUCAAACCUGGCAUUUACUCAUGGGUGUUAUUCUAUUGAUUUUAAUGGGCUUUUCCUAAAACUACUCAGCUAGAAAUGAAAGGAGAAAGGUGUACAUCCUUGAUUUUCACUGUGGCAUCCAGUUUCUUCAAAGCUAACACCAUGCUUCUGUACAGUCUAAGUGUCUUGGGCUUGUUUUGUUUAUUGGCAUGUUUGUUUUAAGAUGCAAAACAACAGGAGUGAGACAGAAAUUAAAAGUAACAACUAAUAAAAACAAAAAUCUGCCUGUGUUGUUCUUGGUUUU
Pseudopipra pipra is the source of this 4791-nucleotide long non-coding RNA. RefSeq lists it as uncharacterized. The record is from RefSeq and is a predicted model, not a curated record. The transcript is spliced from 5 exons. Lineage: Eukaryota; Metazoa; Chordata; Aves; Passeriformes; Pipridae.